This 792-nucleotide ribosomal RNA is filed under the name uncultured bacterium. RNAcentral's name for it is "bacterial SSU rRNA". It matches the Rfam family "Bacterial small subunit ribosomal RNA", at positions 8 to 795 of the family's 1533-position model. The record is from RNAcentral.
AGAGUUUGAUCCUGGCUCAGAUUGAACGCUGGCGGCAUGCCUUACACAUGCAAGUCGAACGGCAGCACGGGAGCAAUCCUGGUGGCGAGUGGCGAACGGGUGAGUAAUGUAUCGGAACGUACCUUUCAGUGGGGGAUAACGUAGCGAAAGUUACGCUAAUACCGCAUAUUCUGUGAGCAGGAAAGCAGGGGAUCGCAAGACCUUGCGCUGAUUGAGCGGCCGAUAUCAGAUUAGCUAGUUGGUGAGGUAAAGGCUCACCAAGGCGACGAUCUGUAGCGGGUCUGAGAGGAUGAUCCGCCACACUGGAACUGAGACACGGUCCAGACUCCUACGGGAGGCAGCAGUGGGGAAUUUUGGACAAUGGGCGCAAGCCUGAUCCAGCCAUGCCGCGUGAGUGAAGAAGGCCUUCGGGUUGUAAAGCUCUUUCGGCCGGGAAGAAAUCGCAUGGGUUAAUACCCUGUGCGGAUGACGGUACCGGCAUAAGAAGCACCGGCUAACUACGUGCCAGCAGCCGCGGUAAUACGUAGGGUGCGAGCGUUAAUCGGAAUUACUGGGCGUAAAGCGUGCGCAGGCGGUUUUGUAAGACAGGCGUGAAAUCCCCGGGCUCAACCUGGGAACUGCGCUUGUGACUGCAAGGCUAGAGUACGGCAGAGGGGGGUGGAAUUCCGCGUGUAGCAGUGAAAUGCGUAGAUAUGCGGAGGAACACCGAUGGCGAAGGCAAUCCCCUGGGCCUGCACUGACGCUCAUGCACGAAAGCGUGGGGAGCAAACAGGAUUAGAUACCCUGGUAGUC